UCACCCUCACAUCAUUGUUUAAAAAAGAUAAAAUGGGAUAGAAGUGUAGCGCUAGGCUACCAUACAAGGGUUUAACAUUGGGCUAGGUAGAAGGUUGUACCACUAGUCUAUGGUAAGGGUGUACCCCUGAUCUAUAGUCGAGAUUUCAAGUUACAUCUACUCGUAGGAUAACAGACUGGUAAAAGUAAAGAUAAAGAUAAUUUGAUUGGAUUGAUUGUCCAAGCAUCUCUCAUAUAGAGUACAACUUUACUAUUUAUACUAGUACCUAAUAAUUGUCCACUGACAGUUGUUAUCUAUGUUCCUUACCUCUAGCAGCUCUGGUAACAUAUGUCGUUUGCCUCCUAAAACUAUAGGAUCAUAUGAUAGCUACUCCACACUAGCUGUA
This 385-nucleotide long non-coding RNA is filed under the name Elaeis guineensis (African oil palm). RNAcentral describes it as "long non-coding RNA (EGUI_LNC038979)". Lineage: Eukaryota; Viridiplantae; Streptophyta; Magnoliopsida; Arecales; Arecaceae. The record is from RNAcentral.